Molecule: non-coding RNA, 816 nt
Organism: Nicotiana tabacum (common tobacco)
Lineage: Eukaryota; Viridiplantae; Streptophyta; Magnoliopsida; Solanales; Solanaceae
Source: RefSeq, a predicted model, not a curated record
UCUCUGAGUNGGAAGCUUGGUUAACCUAGCUACAAUGUUGUAUCUCAAUUCCAUCCGUAUGCCUUCUAUUAUAGCAUACGCUGUCUGUGCAUUCUUUGGCUUCCAAGUCCUCUUUGGCCUUUUGAAAGUUAAGAAAUUGGAUCAACGAGAAAAAUUGAUCACAGGAACAGCUUGAACAAAUGGUUACCCUGGGAGAUCAUAUAUGGGAACUGCUAUUCCAGUAAUCCUUGAAAAAGCAGAAAUAACGUGGAGGAGACGUAACGGAUCGUUGAGUAUUUAUAGAGCACGCCCAUGGCGUAGAGUUGCCAGUUUUGUCAUUCAGCUUUAAGAUGCAUCAUGUGGUAAGGCUUCCAAUGUGGAGGUUAACUUCUAAUUUUGUUGGCCUAGCAGAUUGUUGUAUUUGCCCCAUCUCCACUAGAGAGCACUCCUGUGAAGUAGACCGAGGAAGAAGUCAUUCAUGUCGUAUGAUACCCAUUUUGACCUUCUAUAGCCUUAGUGUAUAGGUAUACAAAAUCUAGGAGAUAAAUGUAACUAAUGUUAGCCUUAUCUACCUUCAACCUUAUUCGUGGAGUUCGAUUCCCUUGAAUUUGUGUAUAAUACAACGUGAGAAGCAAUGUCAUAAAAGUACUCUAGGGAUCAAAUAUGGCAUUGAGCUAACCGUACUUUGUAUUGGUUCUUUGUAUUUAUAUUAGCAUGUCAUUUGUACUAUUUAGUUUCAAUUGCAAGAACGUCGAACAAAUACAAUGUUGGGGAAGACUUGAUCUCAUAAGUAAAACUUCAAUUAAGGAGCAGAUGGUAGCAAGUCUUCUUGAAGUA